GAGCGCAUCCUUCGGGGUGAGCGGCAGACGGGUGAGUAACGCGUGGGGAUGUGCCUUGAGGUGGGGAAUAACUGUGGGAAACUACAGCUAAUACCGCAUAAGCCCUUCGGGGGAAAGAUUUAUCGCCUUUAGAGCAACCCGCGUCAGAUUAGCUAGUUGGUGAGGUAAUGGCUCACCAAGGCGACGAUCCAUAGCUGGUCUGAGAGGAUGAUCAGCCACAUUGGGACUGAGACACGGCCCAA
Molecule: ribosomal RNA, 242 nt
Filed under: uncultured bacterium
Lineage: Bacteria
Description: partial 16S ribosomal RNA
Rfam family: Bacterial small subunit ribosomal RNA
Source: RNAcentral